RNAcentral lists this ribosomal RNA (254 nucleotides) under uncultured bacterium. RNAcentral's name for it is "partial 16S ribosomal RNA". It matches the Rfam family "Bacterial small subunit ribosomal RNA", at positions 524 to 776 of the family's 1533-position model. The record is from RNAcentral.
UACGUAGGGGGCGAGCGUUGUCCGGAUUCAUUGGGCGUAAAGAGCUCGUAGGCGGUUCGGCAAGUCGGGUGUGAAAACUCCAGGCUCAACCUGGAGACGCCACCCGAUACUGCUGUGACUCGAGUCCGGUAGGGGACCACGGAAUACCUGGUGUAGCGGUGAAAUGCGCAGAUAUCAGGUGGAACACCGGUGGCGAAGGCGGCUCGCUGGACCUUCACUGACGCUGAGGCGCGAAAGCCAGGGGAGCGAACGGG